Molecule: long non-coding RNA, 237 nt
Organism: Fundulus heteroclitus (mummichog)
Lineage: Eukaryota; Metazoa; Chordata; Actinopteri; Cyprinodontiformes; Fundulidae
Exons: 5
Source: RefSeq, a predicted model, not a curated record
GCUUUCAUCUCUGAGCCUGGUAUGCUUGGGUCGAUUAUUAAAAAUGCUUAAUAGGAGUGCUUUACAUUUCUGACUUUGUUUCUUUUUUUUUCCUUUCUCGUUACAUUCCUUUAGCCUCCACCAAGAAGACAAAAUGAGUGAUUCCGAGCACAAGAAGAAGAAGGAUAAAGACGAGUCGGCGUCUUCUAGUUCUGAAGACUCUGAAUCCGGAGGAGAGGGAGGAAAGGGCAAAGACAA